UCCGUAGGUGAACCUGCGGAAGGAUCAGUCUUGAAAUCUGAUGCUUGGGCCGAUGCGGCCAGCCCGCUCGACCCGGCGAAAGGCCCGGCCUCGGUCGGCCUUUGCCACCCCAACGUGUGAUCCCCCGUGGUCACGUUAAUUGGAGCGAGAGGUCAUCCUCCGCCCCGUGCCUAGGACGAUCGCGUCGGGUCCUUGUCUGCACGUAUGCCCCCACCGAACACGUAUAAACACGCGGGGCAGGCCUCUGGCCAGACAUGUAAAACAACUAUCGUGAUCGUAUACAGUUUUAUACAACUGGUAGCGUUGGAUCCCUCGGCAUGGCUAUCGAUGAAGAGCGCGGCCAGCUGCGAAAUGUGAUGUGAAUUGCAACUCAAAGCGGUUAUCGUGAAUCAUUGACUACUUGAACGCAUUGCACCGCCCUUUUGGGAGUGGUACGCCCGAUUGAGUGCCAUAAAAUCCUUCAGGCUUCUGGGUCUCGGUCGUUCGCUCGGCGACCGUCGCUUGCACUGCAAACCGUACUUGUUCUGACGAGGCGGCGGAGGUGUGGCGGCGGGGGACUCUCUUGGGAGCUCUGGCUUCGAGGCUCUUGCACGGCCGAUCUCCGGAUUGGCCGCGCGCCUUCAGAUGCAUUAGCGGUCGUUUUCUCUGGUCAGACAAGUUCGACUCCACGUGAUGAUAUCAUGUUCGUGGAGGAGUGCCUUUGUGCACGCUUUGCUGGCUGGACGUCGCUGCGAAUCCGCCCUCGGGCAAAUCGCCUUUCGUGACCCGCGUCGCGAUCGGAUCCCAUGACGUUUGGCCUCAGUCGGGUGGGAUUACCCGCUUGAUUUAAGCAUAUUAUUCAGCGGAGGAAAAGAAACUAACAAGGAUUCCCCCAGUAACGGCGAGUGAAGAGGGAAGAGCUCAAAGUGUGAAUCUGGCGGCGCCCUGCUCCGACCCGAGUUGUGCACUAGAGACGUGUCGUCCGCGCUUGAGACCCGAGGCACUUAUGUUGCCUGGAAUGGCACAUCACAGAGGGUGAUAUUCCCGUACGUGGCCUCGGUUGACACUCGCGCCUGUGAGGCAUGCUCGUUGAGUCGCGUAGUUUCGUAUCGCUGCGCAAAUCGGGUGGUAGAUACCAUCUAAAGCUAAAUAUACUGCCAUGUCCGAUAGCUCACAAGUACCGCGAGGGAAAGGUGAAAAGCACUUUGGAAAGAGAGUGAAACAGAUGUGAAAGCGCUAUCAGGGAAAGGUUGGCUAGCUCUGUCGUCUGCCUCCGACGCUUCACGGCUCGGGGGCGAUGCGUCAGGACCCAUUGGGGCUGAGAGACACGGCGGUCGGGGAAUCGGCCCUUCGGGGUGUUGUAACCCGGCCCGCACGCGCGCUCGGCAACGAUGCGGACACGGGCACGCGGCAACGUUGUGCCCUCUCUGGCAAUGUGCUCAGUCAACCACCCGUCUUGAAACACGGACCAAGG
RNAcentral lists this ribosomal RNA (1453 nucleotides) under uncultured Cantharellales. RNAcentral describes it as "eukaryotic LSU rRNA". The stretch from base 793 to 1453 matches the Rfam family "Eukaryotic large subunit ribosomal RNA", at positions 1 to 671 of the family's 3401-position model. The record is from RNAcentral. Lineage: Eukaryota; Fungi; Basidiomycota; Agaricomycetes; Cantharellales.